Molecule: long non-coding RNA, 3451 nt
Filed under: Anas platyrhynchos platyrhynchos (common mallard)
Lineage: Eukaryota; Metazoa; Chordata; Aves; Anseriformes; Anatidae
Description: lncRNA (ENSAPLG00000027997.1)
Source: RNAcentral
AUGAUCCACCUUUUCUUUCACUCGCCUCUCCUCCAGCAAAUCUAUAAUGCAUUUAAUCUUCAGCAGUCACUCUCCUCAGUUUUUAAAUGUCUAAUUUGCUGCCGAGUGCAGCUCCAAUUCUCUCUGUGCCGCCGUUUUAACUCUCUGCCUUGUGUUUGCCCAAUUGCUUGUCUGCUUGGAUGGAGAGACCCGACUGCACCUGAUCCUUCGGAGAGAGGGAGGGGGAGAGAAGCUUACCGGAGGGCAGAGACUUCGCAGCGUCGUUGUCCAGGCAAACACCUUGGUGCUUUGGGAGACUACCUGCUUUGCUCACACCACAGCCAGCAGGCUGCUGUCAAGCAAGGCUUUCCCCUGUGCCAAGAGCAGGCUCCCCAGCCCUCGGCUGGCUGGAGCAGGCGUGCGGUGCCUGGGCCAUGCUGCCAGCACUGGCACGAAGCCUCCUUCAGCCCACAGCAAGGCAGGAGGUGGGGAUGGUUUCACCAAACCUCGUGGGUUUGUUCCCAAGCGCCCAGACUCGCUCUGACCCUUCCAAGGCUGCUCAGGCAGAACCUGUCCCCAGGAGCCCCCACCCCAGCCCUGGCAGCCCCUGACUGCUCUUCCUCUGUGCCCCACCAUCAUCCCCACUCAACCCGAGCAACCCAGUGUCACUGCUGUAACUGGCAGCCCCCAGCAUACUGGGGAUGCUGGGCACUGCCCUCCCACCCCACCUGUGCUCCCAGCUGCGGCCACUUCUCUGCCCCAUCUGAGAGCACUCAGCACCAGCCUGCGUGCCUGCUGCCAGCUGUGGGUGUUAAUGCCCUCUGCAGGGGCUGGUGGUGUGGCUGUUUGGGACUGCUCUGCAGGAUGCUGAGGGCAGCUGGAGCAUGGACCUGACUCAGACUUAGAUGUACCUGUGUGACUAGGUAAGGCUUAAUGAGAGCUGUGGGGGAAAAAUGCUCCAAGCUUCUUGCGUUCUUCUUUUCCUAGAACAUUGAAAUUUCAGAAGAUAGCUCAUAUACAUGAAAUUCUCCCUGUGUGAAGAAAAGUUUUCCUUACAAAGGAAAAAUCAUUUUGUCUUGAAUUGCAUGCUGCAAGUUAUUUUCUGAUUUUCUAAAGUGAAAUGCUGGCGACAGAAAAGCACUUUGAAAGGAGAAGGUGCUUGCAAGCUCCCCUCCGUGCUGUUCUGGGUCAAGGACUUUCUCAUGUCCUGCUUGUGCAGCACAGGGUACAAACGAGCUUGAACUUGGCUGAGCUAUUGGGGACAAGUCAAGCGUGAUGGUCUGCAACAAAAAAAUCCGAACAGGGCUGGCUUUCAAGGGUAAUGCAGUCGGCUUUGGAGCCAUGUGUCCCAACCUUCAGGCCACCUAGCCUUGGUAUGCUGGGGUCUCUGGAAAACUAGUUGAAAAUCCAGGCAGUGAUCUGUAGAGGAAGUUUGAAGGCAAAACGUGAAGCAAAAGAGUAGAAAACACAUCAGAAAUGAUGCUAGGUGGCUGGACCUUCCUCAAAAGCAAAGUGAGUCGUCAUUUAGGCUGCGGGCACUCCUGGGAGAGCAGCAAGGGCUGCAGCACCCCGAUCCCACUGACUGCCUCUGCCUUCCCUCCGGGCCCCUGCUCCUGGCAGCACCUCAGCGUUCAACAGCAUCUGAUGCUUUGCUGAAGGAAAGUGAUAAUUGCCUUUUUAUUCAUUUCAAUAGCAUCAUGAAACAUUAAAAUCGGAUUUGGUUGGUCACAUGGGAGCGUCAUCCAUCAGUGACUUGGUGUGCAAGAGCGCGCAAGAGAGUUUCUCCCACUGCAGGCAGAAGGCAUUAUUAAGGAAACUAAUCAUUAAAAAAAAUAGUACAAAUAACCUAGUUGUCUGGUGAGCCUAAUGGCUUUAUUUUCCCGUUCUCCAGCAUAAUGAGAGCAGUCUGGGCUGCUUGAAUCUGCCUCUCCAAGAGCCUAAUUGUUUUUAAAUGUCUUUGCUAACCACUUCACAUACAGCCCAUAAAUCUGGUUUGGGGUAACUGAGAGCCAGGCUUCUGAGCUCCCUUUUAGGAUGACACAUUUGUGUGUUAAUUAAAAACAUGCUUAGGAAGAUGUAAUCCUUCAGUCUUUAAACGUGUGGCUGUUUGCUGUGCUGGAGCAGGGUCUGGGUGUUGGGUUUCUGUCCUCAGCAGCUGAGAGCGAUGCAAAUUAUCCCGAGCAGCACAAUGACCACCUGCAGGGGCUCGGCGAAACAAAUGGUCCCAAACAAGUACUGAGGCGUUUUGUUCCUUGCUGUGAUAUAUCUGCCCUUAUUUUGAAGAUGUCUUUGGAGAUUUGGUGCUUGCAGCUACUGCAUCUACAGCCGUGGUUUGUUUUCCUUCCAAGUCAUUCCAUCAUGAUUAUGACGACAGAGAAGGUUGCUUUAUUUAAUGGUGCCCUGUGGCAUGACUGCAACGAUCCUUGAGCUCCUCUGCUAUUUCCAGAAAUAUUCUUUCCUGGAAGGUAUGUUCUUUGAAGCUAAACUGCAAAGAAAAUCUGAAGAGAGAAAGAUGAAGGGAAUAGAUAAAUACAUUUAGAUUUUGAACAGCGGAAUAAUAUAAAAUGAAACAAUGGAGACAAACAAUGAGAGGAGAGACUGAGCCUGCCACCUGAUUAUCUCCAGAUAAUGCAAAGGUGUUUCUGUACAGUCCACCACUGAGGACCUUGUCCACAUUAAUUUCAAAUUAUUUAAAAUAUAAAUUAAUUUCAAGAGGAGCAUGUGCUCCUUUUGGGUAUUUGGCACAUGGAGGAGACCAUAUCUCAGGCAGCUAGGAGACAGCAGAAGUACUGGGAUGAUGGUCGGUGUCUCCUGUAGCUCAUUCUCUGGCAUGCAGGAGGGCCUGCAGCAGCUCCAUGUCUCCUGCUGCCACAGCCUGGGACCGCCAGGCUUGCAGUGCUGCUUGCAGCGUGUGGCAGACUGGGGUUUCAAGAGGACAUGGGCAAAGCGUUGGCUCCUGCAGCUUCCCACCCAGCUCUCCUGCCCGAAGAGGAGCACCCGGCUGUUUGGGCUGCUCUGAUAACACUGCAUUCAUUUAAAAACCACAGAUACAUCCUUUAAUUAAAUUUGGCCUGUGUUUUCCCCUGUUAAAUUAAAUGAUGUCUGAAAUGUGUUGUGACUUUGAACCUUGGGCUGCAUUUAACCUCAAACAGCAGGAAAAUAUCACAUUUUUUUUCAAACUACAUGCUGAAUUUUCUCCUUCUUGGAAGCUGAAAUAUUAACUGUAUCUGUUUCGACACAAUUUUGUUUCAAUUGCCCCUUUACCUGAACUGUGAGAUGAAGCUAAUGCAAAGGGAUAUAAAUCAGGCACGACUUCCAAACAGUUUUCUUUUAAGCAGCCCGUUAUACAUUAACCUGCAAGACGACAUGUUUUAAGAGAACCUUGUUCAGUACCUCAGAAAAGUCAAAUUAACAUAAUAUCUGGAAAAGAACAAUGGGAAUAAAAAAAAUGUUAGUCACUGUUGAUUGAACA